GAUGAGCAUGCGUCCCAUUAGCUUGUUGGUAAGGUAACGGCUUACCAAGGCAACGAUGGGUAGGGGUCCUGAGAGGGAGAUCCCCCACACUGGUACUGAGACACGGACCAGACUCCUACGGGAGGCAGCAGUGAGGAAUAUUGGUCAAUGGGCGCAAGCCUGAACCAGCCAUGCCGCGUGCAGGAUGACGGUCCUAUGGAUUGUAAACUGCUUUUGUACAGGAAGAAACAUCUCUACGUGUAGAGACUUGACGGUACUGUAAGAAUAAGGAUCGGCUAACUCCGUGCCAGCAGCCGCGGUAAUACGGAGGAUCCAAGCGUUAUCCGGAAUCAUUGGGUUUAAAGGGUUCGUAGGCGGUUUUGUAAGUCAGUGGUGAAAGCCCAUCGCUCAACGGUGGAACGGCCAUUGAUACUGCAAGACUUGAAUUAUUAGGAAGUAACUAGAAUAUGUAGUGUAGCGGUGAAAUGCUUAGAGAUUACAUGGAAUACCAAUUGCGAAGGCAGGUUACUACUAAUUGAUU
Molecule: ribosomal RNA, 520 nt
Filed under: uncultured Bacteroidota bacterium
Lineage: Bacteria; Pseudomonadati; Bacteroidota
Description: bacterial SSU rRNA
Rfam family: Bacterial small subunit ribosomal RNA
Source: RNAcentral